ACUCAAAUGAAUAGACGGGGGCCCGCACAAGCGGUGGAGUAUGUGGUUUAAUUCGAUGCAACGCGAAGAACCUUACCUGGGUUUGACAUCCCGCGAAUCCUCCCGAAAAGGAGGAGUGCCCUUCGGGGAGCGCGGUGACAGGUGCUGCAUGGCUGUCGUCAGCUCGUGCCGUGAGGUGUUGGGUUAAGUCCCGCAACGAGCGCAACCCUUGUCUUUAGUUGCCAGCGAGUAAUGUCGGGCACUCUAGAGAGACCGCCUCGGUCAACGGGGAGGAAGGUGGGGACGACGUCAAGUCAUCAUGGCCCUUACGCCCAGGGCUACACACGUACUACAAUGGUGGGUACAAUGGGCUGCGAGACCGCAAGGUGGAGCCAAUCCCAAAAAACCCAUCCCAGUCCGGAUCGGGGUCUGCAACUCGACCCCGUGAAGUCGGAAUCGCUAGUAAUCGGAGAUCAGCAUGCUCCGGUGAAUACGUUCCCGGGCCUUGCACACACCGCCCGU
RNAcentral lists this ribosomal RNA (501 nucleotides) under uncultured bacterium. RNAcentral's name for it is "partial 16S ribosomal RNA". It matches the Rfam family "Bacterial small subunit ribosomal RNA", at positions 899 to 1397 of the family's 1533-position model. The record is from RNAcentral.